UACGUAGGGGGCAAGCGUUAUCCGGAUUUACUGGGUGUAAAGGGAGCGCAGGCGGCGCGGCAAGUCUGAUGUGAAAGCCCGGGGCUCAACUCCGGGACUGCUUUUGAAACUGUGUGACUGGAGUGCAGGAGAGGUAAGCGGAAUUCCUGGUGUAGCGGUGGAAUGCGUAGAUAUAUGGAAGAACACCAGUGGCGAAGGCGGCUCUCUGGUCUGUAACUGACGCUGAGGCUCGAAAGCAUGGGUAGCGAACAGG
RNAcentral lists this ribosomal RNA (253 nucleotides) under uncultured Lachnospiraceae bacterium. Its description in RNAcentral is "partial 16S ribosomal RNA". It matches the Rfam family "Bacterial small subunit ribosomal RNA", at positions 524 to 776 of the family's 1533-position model. Lineage: Bacteria; Bacillati; Bacillota; Clostridia; Lachnospirales; Lachnospiraceae. The record is from RNAcentral.